RNAcentral lists this small RNA (918 nucleotides) under Catocala dejecta. Its description in RNAcentral is "eukaryotic LSU rRNA". The stretch from base 599 to 918 matches the Rfam family "Eukaryotic large subunit ribosomal RNA", at positions 1 to 302 of the family's 3401-position model. Lineage: Eukaryota; Metazoa; Arthropoda; Insecta; Lepidoptera; Erebidae. The record is from RNAcentral.
CUGUAUAAAAUACAUAUGCCACAUUGCGUGAAAUAUAUGUAUAUAUAUACGUUAACACGUAUACUAUAUAUAUUAACGCACAUGACGGUUCCGUGAUAAUAUUAUGUGUUACACGCUUGUCGUGCAACAUCUCUAUAUUGCGCGGUCCGUUUAAAUAUUGUCUAACGACACACGGUUGAUUAUAACUUUAUAUAUCAUACGACAAUGUUAGAGAUUAUCAUAAUAUUUGUCGAACGAUCGACGGUGUUACCGCUGACGCGCCUCACCGCGCAAGGCGGGACGCUUUCGACUCUACCGAGUUAGAGUGUGAUAUAUGAUAACAAUAUAUCACACACAUACGAGAGGGUUGAUUGCGUGUUCGACACCGUUCACAUGUCGCGAGACGCGUAAAUAUUAUAGAUCUCUAUAAAACAAUUGACGUAUACAAAAUGAUAUAUACGAUUUAAAUCAUCGACAGUAGGCGGACUCGACGUCCGAAGAGCGCAUCGACGCCGUCGUCGUUAUCGAUCGUGUUAUUAUUGUAAAAAAUGUAACGCGUCGUAGCGGUUGCGUCGUCGUAACGCUGACGGAUAUCGCGUCUGCCUCAUUUUUUUAUCGUUGGCCUCAGAUCAGGGAGGAUCACCCGCCGAAUUUAAGCAUAUUAGUAAGCGGAGGAAAAGAAACUAACUAGGAUUUCCUUAGUAGCGGCGAGCGAACAGGAAAGAAGCCCAGCACUGAAUCCCGCCGUUGUUCAGGCGGCGGGAGAUGUGGUGUUCGGGAGGUUCCGCUUUCUCGUCGCGAUCGCUCCUGUCCAAGUUCGUCUUGAACGGGGCCGUUUUCCCGUAGAGGGUGCCAGGCCCGUAGCGACGGAGGAUCGCGGCGAGAGGGACUCUCCUUAGAGUCGGGUUGCUUGAGAGUGCAGCCCUAAGUGGGUGGUAA